Molecule: ribosomal RNA, 784 nt
Filed under: uncultured Acetobacter sp.
Lineage: Bacteria; Pseudomonadati; Pseudomonadota; Alphaproteobacteria; Acetobacterales; Acetobacteraceae
Description: bacterial SSU rRNA
Rfam family: Bacterial small subunit ribosomal RNA
Source: RNAcentral
GCACGAAGGUUUCGGCCUUAGUGGCGGACGGGUGAGUAACGCGUAGGUAUCUAUCCAUGGGUGGGGGAUAACACUGGGAAACUGGUGCUAAUACCGCAUGACACCUGAGGGUCAAAGGCGUAAGUCGCCUGUGGAGGAGCCUGCGUUUGAUUAGCUAGUUGGUGGGGUAAAGGCCUACCAAGGCGAUGAUCAAUAGCUGGUUUGAGAGGAUGAUCAGCCACACUGGGACUGAGACACGGCCCAGACUCCUACGGGAGGCAGCAGUGGGGAAUAUUGGACAAUGGGGGCAACCCUGAUCCAGCAAUGCCGCGUGUGUGAAGAAGGUCUUCGGAUUGUAAAGCACUUUCGACGGGGACGAUGAUGACGGUACCCGUAGAAGAAGCCCCGGCUAACUUCGUGCCAGCAGCCGCGGUAAUACGAAGGGGGCUAGCGUUGCUCGGAAUGACUGGGCGUAAAGGGCGUGUAGGCGGUUUGUACAGUCAGAUGUGAAAUCCCCGGGCUUAACCUGGGAGCUGCAUUUGAUACGUGCAGACUAGAGUGUGAGAGAGGGUUGUGGAAUUCCCAGUGUAGAGGUGAAAUUCGUAGAUAUUGGGAAGAACACCGGUGGCGAAGGCGGCAACCUGGCUCAUUACUGACGCUGAGGCGCGAAAGCGUGGGGAGCAAACAGGAUUAGAUACCCUGGUAGUCCACGCUGUAAACGAUGUGUGCUAGAUGUUGGGUGACUUAGUCAUUCAGUGUCGCAGUUAACGCGUUAAGCACACCGCCUGGGGAGUACGGCCGCAAG